This 390-nucleotide ribosomal RNA is filed under the name uncultured Erysipelothrix sp. RNAcentral describes it as "bacterial SSU rRNA". It matches the Rfam family "Bacterial small subunit ribosomal RNA", at positions 987 to 1382 of the family's 1533-position model. The record is from RNAcentral. Lineage: Bacteria; Bacillati; Bacillota; Erysipelotrichia; Erysipelotrichales; Erysipelotrichaceae.
UACUCGGCAAAGCUCUGGAGAUAGAGUGGAGGUUAUCCGGGAUACAGGUGGUGCAUGGUUGUCGUCAGCUCGUGUCGUGAGAUGUUGGGUUAAGUCCGCAACGAGCGCAACCCUUGUCUUUAGUUACCAUCAUUCAGUUGGGGACUCUAGAGAGACUGCCGGUGAUAAACCGGAGGAAGGUGGGGGAUGACGUCAAAUCAUCAUGCCCCUUAUGGCCUGGGCUACAAACGUAAUACAAUGGCGUAUACAAAGGGAUGCGAAAGGGCGACCUGGAGCAAAACUCACAAAGUACGUCUCAGUUCAGAUUGGAGUCUGCAACUCGACUCCAUGAAGGCGGAAUCGCUAGUAAUCGCGGAUCAGCCUGCCGCGGUGAAUACGUUCUCGGGGUUU